RNAcentral lists this ribosomal RNA (597 nucleotides) under Alternaria brassicicola. RNAcentral describes it as "eukaryotic LSU rRNA". The stretch from base 221 to 373 matches the Rfam family "5.8S ribosomal RNA". The record is from RNAcentral. Lineage: Eukaryota; Fungi; Ascomycota; Dothideomycetes; Pleosporales; Pleosporaceae.
CGGGAGUCUUUCGUAGGGUGAACCUGCGGAGGGAUCAUUACACAAUAUGAAACCGGGCGGGACUCACCUCAGCAGCAUCUGCUGUUGGGGCCAGCCUUGCUGAAUUAUUCACCCCUGUCUUUUGCGUACUUCUUGUUUCCUUGGUGGGCUCGCCCACCACAAGGACAAACCAUAAACCUUUUGUAAUUGCAAUCAGCGUCAGUAACAACAUAAUAAUUACAACUUUCAACAACGGAUCUCUGGGUUCUGGCAUCGAUAAAGAACGCAGCGAAAUGCGAUAAGUAGUGUGAAUUGCAGAAUUCAGUGAAUCAUCGAAUCUUUGAACGCACAUUGCGCCCUUUGGUAUUCCAAAGGGCAUGCCUGUUCAGCGUCAUUUGUACCCUCAAGCUUUGCUUGGUGUUGGGCGUCUUGUCUCCAGUUUGCUGGAGACUCGCCUUAAAGUCAUUGGCAGCCGGCCUACUGGUUUCGGAGCGCAGCACAAGUCGCGCUCUCUUCCAGCCAAGGUCAGCAUCCAUAAAGCCUUUUUCAACUUUGACCUCGGAUCAGGUAGGGAUACCAACUGAACAUAAGCAUAUCAAUAAGCGAGAGAAUGGUCCU